AGUUGGUGGAGUGAUUUGUCUGGUUAAUUCCGUUAACGAACGAGACCUUCGCCUGCUAAAUAGGUACGCUCAAGCAUGCUUGGGUGGGCACCUUCUUAGAGGGACACUCGGUGUUUAACCGAGGGAAGUUGGAGGCAAUAACAGGUC
This 147-nucleotide ribosomal RNA is filed under the name Radiolaria sp. Its description in RNAcentral is "partial small subunit ribosomal RNA". It matches the Rfam family "Eukaryotic small subunit ribosomal RNA", at positions 1296 to 1462 of the family's 1831-position model. The record is from RNAcentral.